Molecule: ribosomal RNA, 511 nt
Filed under: uncultured bacterium
Lineage: Bacteria
Description: bacterial SSU rRNA
Rfam family: Bacterial small subunit ribosomal RNA
Source: RNAcentral
CUGGCGGCGUGCCUAAUACAUGCAAGUCGAACGCACUCUCGUUUAGAUUGAAGGAGCUUGCUCCUGAUUGAUAACAUUUGAGUGAGUGGCGGACGGGUGAGUAACACGCGGGUAACCUGCCCUAAAGUGGGGGAUAACAUUUGGAAACAGAUGCUAAUACCGCAUAAAACCUAACACCGCAUGGUGUAGGGUUGAAAGAUGGUUUCGGCUAUCACUUUAGGAUGGACCCGCGGUGCAUUAGUUAGUUGGUGAGGUAAAGGCUCACCAAGACCGUGAUGCAUAGCCGACCUGAGAGGGUAAUCGGCCACACUGGGACUGAGACACGGCCCAGACUCCUACGGGAGGCAGCAGUAGGGAAUCUUCCACAAUGGACGAAAGUCUGAUGGAGCAACGCCGCGUGAGUGAAGAAGGUUUUCGGAUCGUAAAACUCUGUUGCUGGAGAAGAAUGUAUCUGAUAGUAACUGAUCAGGUAGUGACGGUAUCCAACCAGAAAGCCACGGCUAACUACGUG